This 21-nucleotide microRNA is filed under the name Marchantia polymorpha subsp. ruderalis. The record is from RNAcentral. Lineage: Eukaryota; Viridiplantae; Streptophyta; Marchantiopsida; Marchantiales; Marchantiaceae.
UAAAUCUGGUGCCUAUCAAGG